Molecule: ribosomal RNA, 253 nt
Filed under: uncultured bacterium
Lineage: Bacteria
Description: partial 16S ribosomal RNA
Rfam family: Bacterial small subunit ribosomal RNA
Source: RNAcentral
UACGAAGGGGGCUAGCGUUGCUCGGAAUGACUGGGCGUAAAGGGCGCGUAGGCGGGUGGCACAGUCAGAUGUGAAAUUCCUGGGCUUAACCUGGGGGCUGCAUUUGAUACGUGUGAUCUGGAGUGAGGAAGAGGGUUGUGGAAUUCCCAGUGUAGAGGUGAAAUUCGUAGAUAUUGGGAAGAACACCGGUGGCGAAGGCGGCGACCUGGUCCUUAACUGACGCUGAGGCGCGAAAGCGUGGGGAGCAAACAGG